This is a long non-coding RNA of Zalophus californianus (California sea lion), 636 nucleotides long. RefSeq lists it as uncharacterized. Lineage: Eukaryota; Metazoa; Chordata; Mammalia; Carnivora; Otariidae. The transcript is spliced from 3 exons. The record is from RefSeq and is a predicted model, not a curated record.
GGCUAGGUGCGGGCGGCCACCCGGCGCGCGUCCGAGCGCUGCUGAGGGCAGCGGAACGCCAGGCUGCGCCUAGGGCCGCCGGCAGGCUGGCGGCCCGGCGGAGGGCGCCCCGCGCCCCCCCGGCAUCCCCCGCCCCAGCGCUGCUAGGAGCCCGGCUUCUCCGGCUUCUGCAGAUCUCAGCCCACCCGGGGCUGCAGUCUCGGCGGCCAGACUCUCCGCGCCGAGAGUGAUCGGAGCGUUCUAGUCACCCCAAAGACGAGAGGCUUUAAACCGAGCCGCGGGCGGCGCGGAGCAGCGUGUGCAGGGAACCGCGGCGUGCGGCGCGUGGGCUCAGAGCGCUCCUAGCCGCGAGGCAGCGGCGCUGGAGGGGAGGAACGCAGCCGGCCGAGAACCUGACUAAUACGACAGCCAUGCAUGAGGUGAGACUGUGGACAUUGGGCAAGUACAGAGAAACUGCUAGAAAAUGCAGCCUGUUACAGGUUUAGGCCCAACUUGUCUAGGCCUCUGCCCCAUUUAUUGCAGAAAAUGCUGGCAUCUUUAGCUUCUGUGGAACCCAGCAUAUCACAGACAACAUCACAGAGAGAGAGACAGCGAGAGAGGGAACACGAGCAGGGGCAGAGGGAGAGGGAGAAGCAG